This 497-nucleotide ribosomal RNA is filed under the name uncultured bacterium. RNAcentral describes it as "partial 16S ribosomal RNA". It matches the Rfam family "Bacterial small subunit ribosomal RNA", at positions 28 to 507 of the family's 1533-position model. The record is from RNAcentral.
GAUGAACGCUGGCGGCGUGCCUAAUACAUGCCAGUCGAGCGAACGGACGAGAAGCUUGCUUCUCUGAUGUUAGCGGCGGACGGGUGAGUAACACGUGGAUAACCUACCUAUAAGACUGGGAUAACUUCGGGAAACCGUAGCUAAUACCGGAUAAUAUUUUGAACCGCAUGGUUCAAAAGUGAAAGACGGUCUUGCUGUCACUUAUAGAUGGAUCCGCGCUGCAUUAGCUAGUUGGUAAGGUAACGGCUUACCAAGGCAACGAUGCAUAGCCGACCUGAGAGGGUGAUCGGCCACACUGGAACUGAGACACGGUCCAGACUCCUACGGGAGGCAGCAGUGGGGAAUCUUCCGCAAUGGGCGAAAGCCUGACGGAGCAACGCCGCGUGAGUGAUGAAGGUCUUCGGAUCGUAAAACUCUGUUAUUAGGGAAGAACAUAUGUGUAAGUAACUGUGCACAUCUUGACGGUACCUACUCAGAAAGCCACGGCUAACUACGUG